Molecule: ribosomal RNA, 1248 nt
Filed under: metagenome
Description: bacterial LSU rRNA
Rfam family: Bacterial large subunit ribosomal RNA
Source: RNAcentral
CUUCUAACGUUAAUAUAUGACUGCCCGUACUGUAAACCGACACAGGUGGUCAGGAUGAGAAAUCUAAGGCGGACAGGCUAACUCUCGUUAAGGAACUCUGCAAAAUAACCUCGUAACUUCGGGAGAAGAGGAGCCCUUGAGGGUCAGUAUCCACGCGAUACAAAGCGCUCGAGGGUCGCAGUGAAGAGGCUCAAGCAACUGUUUAACAAAAACACAGGUCUAUGCUAAGCUGGAAGGCGAUGUAUAUGGGCUGACACCUGCCCAGUGCUGGAAGGUUAAGAGGAGGAGUGAGAGCUCCGAAUUGAAGCCCCAGUGAACGGCGGCCGUAACUAUAACGGUCCUAAGGUAGCGAAAUUCCUUGUCGGGUAAGUUCCGACCUGCACGAAUGGUGUAAUGAUUUGAGCGCUGUCUUGACGGGAGGCCUGGUGAAAUUGUAUUACCGGUGAAGAUACCGGUUACCUACAGUAGGACGGAAAGACCCCAUGGAGCUUUACUGUAGCUUGGUAUUGGGUUUUGGCAUUGCAUGUAUAGGAUAGUUGGGAGACUAUGAUGAUAUGGCGCUAGCUGUAUCGGAGUCAUCGGUGGAAUACCAACCAUUCAAUGCUGAAAUUCUAAUCUGUGGUUUGUAGCCACGGAGACAGUGCUAGGUGGGCAGUUUGACUGGGGCGGUCGCCUCCGAAAGAGUAACGGAGGCGUUCAAAGGUUCUCUCAGGUUGGAUGGAAAUCAACCAUAGAGUGCAAUGGCAUAAGAGAGCUUGACUGCAAGACUGACGGGUCGAGCAGAUGCGAAAGCAGGACAUAGUGAUCCGGCGAUUCCGAAUGGAAGGGUCGUCGCUCAACGGAUAAAAGCUACCCUGGGGAUAACAGGCUGAUCCUACCCGAGAGUCCAUAUCGACGGUAGGGUUUGGCACCUCGAUGUCGGCUCAUCGCAUCCUGGGGCUGGAGAAGGUCCCAAGGGUUGGGCUGUUCGCCCAUUAAAGCGGUACGUGAGCUGGGUUCAGAACGUCGUGAGACAGUUCGGUCCCUAUCCACUGUAGGCGUUAGAAUAUUGAGAAGACCUGUCCUUAGUACGAGAGGACCGGGAUGGACAAACCUCUGAUGUACCAGUUGUCACGCCAGUGGCACAGCUGGGUAGUCACGUUUGGAAUAGAUAACCGCUGAAAGCAUCUAAGCGGGAAACUAACUUCAAGAUAAGUAUUCUUUAAGAUACCUUCGAGCCUAGGAGGUUGAUAGGUUGGGGGUGUAAGU